This 279-nucleotide ribosomal RNA is filed under the name uncultured bacterium. RNAcentral's name for it is "partial 16S ribosomal RNA". It matches the Rfam family "Bacterial small subunit ribosomal RNA", at positions 506 to 784 of the family's 1533-position model. The record is from RNAcentral.
UGCCAGCAGCCGCGGUAACACGGGGGGCGCAAGCGUUAUUCGGAAUUAUUGGGCGUAAAGGGCGCGUAGGCGGCUUGGUAAGUCGGAUGUGAAAGCCCCGGGCUUAACCUGGGAAUUGCAUUCGAUACUGCCCGGCUAGAGUAUGGUAGAGGAAAGCGGAAUUCCGGGUGUAGCGGUGAAAUGCGUAGAUAUCCGGAGGAACAUCAGUGGCGAAGGCGGCUUUCUGGACCAAUACUGACGCUGAGGCGCGAAAGCGUGGGGAGCAAACAGGAUUAGAUA